RNAcentral lists this unclassified non-coding RNA (216 nucleotides) under soil metagenome. RNAcentral's name for it is "partial contains 5.8S ribosomal RNA, internal transcribed spacer 2, and large subunit ribosomal RNA". The record is from RNAcentral.
AAGACUAUAGACCUGCGGAGUACCUGCGGAGGGAUCAUUACAGUGUUUUGUUGUGGCCUGCCCUCCCGAGGGCAGUGCCCCGAAACCCCACCCUUGAUUACUGUACCGUCCGUUGCUUCGGCGGGCUGUGCCCGCCGGAGGACAAUCUGAACUCUUUGUGAUAUUCGGCCGUCUGAGUGAUUUUUGAAUCGUUAAAACUUUUAACAACGGAUCUCU